CUUUCGCGUCUGCGGCUCGGAGUGUGGUGCUUCUGCUGGUUGCAGUCAGGCUUCAUACGCUAUUGUCCUGCCCGUAAGUUCCCGUUUUGUGUGUGUUAGAGCAGCCAGCGGGUACAGAAUGGAUUUUGGAAGAGGGAGUCACCACUGGACCUCCAAGGAAGCCACGUGCAGACGUCUACAACCUUCGAUCUCCUGACGAGUUUAUUGUUGGCCAAAACCAGGCUUUGAUUGAACCAGGAUGAAUGCGGGUGUUGGAAGUAGAAUAUAUAUAUACAUAUAAAAUUGGUUGGGAGCCACGUGUACCAGUGUGUGUUGAUCUUGGCUUGAUUCAGUCUGCCUUGUAACAGAAACUGGCGAUGGAAUAUGAGAGGAGCCCUCUGGAAAGAAAAGGACAGACCCUGUGCUUUCAUGAAAGUGAAGAUCUGGCUGAACCAGUUCCACAAGGUUACUGUAUACAUAGCCUGAGUUUAAAAGGCUGUGCCCACUUCAAGAAUGUCAUUGUUAGACUUUGGUGAAAUUUCUAACUGCCUACCUGGCUAAAGAAAAUAAAAUCUUUUAAAUCAAAA
Molecule: antisense RNA, 566 nt
Filed under: Pan troglodytes (chimpanzee)
Lineage: Eukaryota; Metazoa; Chordata; Mammalia; Primates; Hominidae
Rfam family: ZNFX1 antisense RNA 1 conserved region 3 (bases 200-286)
Source: RNAcentral